Molecule: non-coding RNA, 159 nt
Organism: Xenopus tropicalis (tropical clawed frog)
Lineage: Eukaryota; Metazoa; Chordata; Amphibia; Anura; Pipidae
Source: Ensembl
GUGCACUUGAUACGAGCCAGGAUACCCACGCUUGUCUGUUCUUUCAGAUGAGUGUAUGCCAUGGUAUCUGGGUUUCCAUGAGUGCCACAUUAACCCAACCUUAAGCAUUUAAGCUCAGAGUGCAGAGAGACACCUUGAGUUAUAACUUAUGGUACAGAU